UGGGGAAUUUUGGACAAUGGGCGAAAGCUNNUCAGCAAAUGCCGCGUGUGUGAAGAAGGCCUUCGGGUUGUAAAGCACUUUUGUCCGGAAAGAAAUCCUUGGCUCUAAUACAGUCGGGGGAUGACGGUACCGGAAGAAUAAGCACCGGCUAACUACGUGCCAGCAGCCGCGGUAAUACGUAGGGUGCAAGCGUUAAUCGGAAUUACUGGGCGUAAAGCGUGCGCAGGCGGUUUGCUAAGACCGAUGUGAAAUCCCCGGGCUCAACCUGGGAACUGCAUUGGUGACUGGCAGGCUAGAGUAUGGCAGAGGGGGGUAGAAUUCCACGUGUAGCAGUGAAAUGCGUAGAGAUGUGGAGGAAUACCGAUGGCGAAGGCAGCCCCCUGGGCCAAUACUGACGCUCAUGCACGAAAGCGUGGGGAGCAAACAGGAUUAGAUACCCUGGUAGUCCACGCCCUAAACGAUGUCAACUAGUUGUUGGGGAUUCAUUUCCUUAGUAACGUAGCUAACGCGUGAAGUUGACCGCCUGGGGAGUACGGUCGCAAGAUUAAAACUUAAAUGAAUUGACGGGGUCAUAGCUGUUUCCU
Molecule: ribosomal RNA, 584 nt
Filed under: uncultured bacterium
Lineage: Bacteria
Description: partial 16S ribosomal RNA
Rfam family: Bacterial small subunit ribosomal RNA
Source: RNAcentral